Long non-coding RNA from Scatophagus argus, 2201 nucleotides. RefSeq lists it as uncharacterized. The record is from RefSeq and is a predicted model, not a curated record. NCBI's taxonomy places the organism in Eukaryota, Metazoa, Chordata, Actinopteri, Scatophagidae. The transcript has 2 exons.
GUCAGCUCAAGGCUCCUACAAAGCAAACUUUUGUCGUCGUCCCCCUCCACAACACACACACACACACACACACACAGAAAAACUGCAACCGAUGUUGCAGUCACAGGAGCUGCAGACUGACAGAGUGGACUGGGUGAACGCAUGCGGCGAGAGAGGGGAAAAAAAAAAUGAUUUGAUAAAUUCGUCAGCCGAGCCACAGGAUACCUGGUUUUUAACUGUAUUGGACAGUCUUCAUUAGCGAGAAUGAGCAGUGAGAGAGAGAGAUCAAGGCAGCGUCUCUUUCAAAAGCCUUUUUUUUUUCCGGCCGUGGUUUUUCCACAUUGCACAAUCAAAAUGUCAGCCCAUACCUUGGUCAUUUGUAACAUAAUAAGUCGUAGGCGAUGGCUGCAAUGCAGCAGCGUGCUGGGGGAAGGGCAAACAGUCUGUCCCCUUUAAAAGGAUUUUUUAAAGAGUCUUGAUUAGAAAGUAUAAUGAGAUACCAAAGACACAGCAAAGAUGAUCUCUCCGGAGACUGAUGGAAAACAAAUUAAGAUGCUGCUUUUGUUUUUAAUUAUUAUUUUUCUAUCAGUCCACAGAAAGCUCAGUGUAGCCCUGAGGCACAGGAGUUGGACUCGCUGUCAUUGAUUUUUUUCCCCCCUGACAUAUUUAAAUAAUACAGAUUUUAAUCAUGUCAGCACACAAUGCUCUGAUCCCUUUAACACCAAAGCCUUCCAGCACUGCAUGUGCAUUUGAUUUAGAAAAUAGCACAGUGUCUGAGCUAAAAACUGGGCAAGUUCAUUGCUUAAGUGUGUCUCUGUGUGCAUGUGAGUCUGACGCAAAAGGUGAGAUUCGUCAGAUAUAAAAAUAUAAGCCUCUAUUCAGAGUCACAUUGAACCUUCUCACAGUAGAGUCUCAGUAGCUUUUUUUUGCCAUGCAUUAAUAGGGAAGGCUAAAUUAAUAAUGUAAUGCAUUGGGGUGUUUUUUUGUCUUUAUGUAAAUACAUGGCAUUCUGUAUUUUAAAUGAUCAUAAAGAAAUCAAAGUUUAAGCAUUCAUACCGUGGCCCUGGAAACAUCUUGACAUAAAACAGAGUAUGGUGCUGUUGAUCUGGAAUGGUCCUACAGAGAGCAGUCAUCCAAACAGUGGCCUUUGUUUUCCUCUGUUAACUGGAGCAUGUUCCAGGAUAGUGAAUGGGGGAGAAACAUGAGACUUCCAGGACAUGAGAAAUAGAUGCUCUACACCUCUGUGUACAGACAACUUUACCGGGAAAGACAGGAACAUGAAUAGAAGAUGAGCCGAACAGAAAUAACUGAAUCCUGAGAAAAAGAGAAAUGGGAUUGUGGUGAAACCGGAAAGACAAGAAAGAGUUGACUUGUCCACAAGCAAAUUUCGUUCUGUGUCAUAUUUUAUUACUUGAUAAUUCUCAAGCUCGAUGAACUUAUGUUUUAUGAUCCAGAGACGCUCUCAUUUUUAUUCCAUCUGUCACCCUACUGUACGUCAUAUCUUAUUCAUGCAUACCAAUGUCCAUUUUAAUUAGUCAUUCUGGGUCAGUGUAGACCUCUUCCUGCUUCAAGCAGUGGUGUGGCAGAUGUGUGAAUGAGGUUCAUUUGCCAUUAUUUGAGCGAAAAUAGGCCAUUACAGCGGCUGUGAUGAGACAACAGCCCCGCUGUGGUAAUAAAAUACAUACAUCUUCAGUUAAACAGAAAAGAUGCUGUUAGGGAUGCAGCAGGAUAAAUCACUUAAGAUGCAAUGUGUUUGUGAAAAAAAAAAAAAUUGGCUAUGUCACAAAAGGUUUACCAUAGAUUCAAUUAAAUUGUUUUCAAAAAAUCAAACAAGUAAUGAUCAUAAUUAGAGAUAUCAUAAUUAUGCCUGUGCAGGAAAACAAAUUGAAGAAAACACUUCCUUUCGUAUGUCGUUGUACAUGUUUUUCUCAGUUGUAGCUGGUGACGUGCAGGAGCUCAACAGUUUUCGGUAGCGUUAAAACAGAUUAUAAAUCUGCGUAGGUGAAGCAUUUAAAUUUGAGUUUCAAAAAUGAACGUCUGCUGAAAUUCAACCAGUUUCAAAAGGUCCAAUCUGUAAACAUGAGGUGCUGCAUAUAACUGAAGUAACACGUGAAAAUAAGCAUUUUGUGUGUUUCUCAAGCAUCAGUUUUGAUCAUAUUCUACUCCAAUGUUUACCUUACUGUAUAUACAGUCAUCUUGACAAUAAACAAAUAAGUUACAGA